CUGCCUACUGCUGGACAGAUUCUGGUCCCUUACCUCAGGUCUAGACUGAGUCUCCACCUCAGCCAUAGAGUGACGCCGACUCACACUGUACCCCCAACCCUGGCCACACACUCAGUCUUGACACCAAGCACAGAGUGAGGCUUAACCCUAGUGGCAGACCGAGCCCGAGGAUGUGAUAGUCUCUGACCAUUUGCUUGGGCCCCAAAUUCUCCCAUGAUCCCAGGUCUUAUCUCCCAGCAGCACCGCAUGCAGAGAACAAAGCUCCCUAAUGCCUGUCUAGCCCUGCUGCCAAUCCCAAACUUAGCUCUACUCUCCACAACUUUCCCUACAGAAAACCCACUGGGUUUUCUAAGGAUUUUUACUACUGGUGUCUACAGGCACAAGAAAACAGAUGGGCUAAACAGAUGGGAAAAGCCUCCGAGUGGUAAGGUUUUCGAAGCUGGAAGGUCCCUUAGAGAGCAUCCAACCUCACCCCCUUGCUUUACAGCAAGGCCCAGAGAAGUUCCUAAGUAACUUGCUCAAGGUCAUGCAGCAAACCAGCAGCUAAACCAGAAAUGGAAUCCAGGUCGCCUCUCAGCCCAGUGUUCCCUCUCCUGCCUCCCUACAACAGAGUAGGGGGUAUCGCCCAUCUGGUAAAACAGCGCCCAGAAUUUCCUCUGGGAACCCACUCCUCCUCUAUUCUCUACCCAUGAUUUGCGUGAAAUCCAAUCCAAUCUUCGGCAAGUGUUCCCCUGGUCCUGUGAUUGGUUGGAAGCCAGACUCAGCACCCAAUUGGGCAAGGCGGGGCCGGGAAGUGUGCUGAGACCGCAGUUCCUCCUCCUUGGUGCACUCAAAGCUGAGGACUGGGAGGCACGAGUGCUGCCUGCCUCACUGUCAUCUCACGUGGGCUGAGGAUGAAGCCAAUCCCGGAUGAGGAGGAAACAUGUGCAAUGAAGAGAAAUGGAAUUGUCGGGGCAUCAUCUGAACAUCCACCAACCCAUACCUGGAAGAGUUCCUCCCUCUGGCUUUUUUAGUUCCGUAAGUCAAUAAAAUCCCCUUGUACUUAAAGCCAUCUGGGUUGGGUCGCUGUUGUGUGCAGGCCUGACCAAUACCGAAGGCAAGCUCUUUCUGGCUCUCCCAGAACGGCACUUCCCUACAUCAAACCGUCCCGCUCUCAGACCUCAACCAUCUUUUUGCCCUUGGUUUCUCCCCACUUCUGGAGCUCCAUGGAGCAUGGUCCCUCCCCCGACAGGGCUCUGUCUUCUCCAGUGUCCCCCACAUUGUGGCAGGCAGAACAAUGCCCCUAACCCCCACAAAGAUGUCCACAUCCUAAUGCCUAGAAUCUGUGAAUGUGUUCUUAUCGUACGCAGCAAAGAGGAAUUAAUGCUGCAGAUGCAAUUAAGGUUUCUAAUCAUCUGAUCUCAAAAGAGUAGAUUAUCCUGGAUUAUCUGAUUGGGUGCAAUGUAAACACCAAUGUCCUUAAAAGUGGAAGAAAGAGGCAGAAGAGAGCCAGGGUGACAGCAGUGUCAGAAGGACGCAGCCCAACAUUUCUGGCUUUAAAGACAGAAAGGGCCCAUGAGCCAAAGAAAG
Molecule: long non-coding RNA, 1569 nt
Filed under: Homo sapiens (human)
Lineage: Eukaryota; Metazoa; Chordata; Mammalia; Primates; Hominidae
Description: HSALNT0098372
Source: RNAcentral